Molecule: long non-coding RNA, 436 nt
Organism: Carassius carassius (crucian carp)
Lineage: Eukaryota; Metazoa; Chordata; Actinopteri; Cypriniformes; Cyprinidae
Exons: 4
Source: RefSeq, a predicted model, not a curated record
UGCACACCUACUGACCAAAACAUUACUCAGUGUUUCAGCAUUCAUACAGAAUGACCAGCAUUUUCUCAGUGUGAAUCAAAAGUGAAGAAACAGUCCGAGGUGAAGUGGCUAAUCAAACAAGUGGGGUUCCAAAGCCUCCAGCCCUCGACAGCACGCUAAGCUUGCUAUUAAAAGAACUCAAGAAAGGGAGACCUGUCCAUCCCACUAACAGUCUUUCCUGAGGGGACGUCCUCUGGGGAGGACACACGUGCCCACCGCUGAGGAUUUCAGGAGAACAUUAAGCAGAAACAGGAAGUUUAGUCUGCUUACAAAGUAAGAAAAUGUCCAUGCCAGAUGUGAGUGACGUGAUGCAGUUUCUGCCUAUGGUGUCAUGUGCAGCAAGUAAACAGGAAACAAUAUUUAAGGUCAGAGGUCAUCUGAACCCUGUGGUGUGCGG